GUCAGUGCAUGUUUUGUGUCGGAGUGUUAAAGUAAUUUAUUUUCGUGGGAUAGUAGUGAAAUAGUGGUUAUUGUUUGUUGUUGGUGUCCAAAAAAUAAAAAUAAAAUAAAAAGUAAUAAAGUGGAAAUAAGUGCCGGGACACGUUCUCUUUUAUGUAAAGAUAUGCUGAAGUAAGCAUUAACAUAAAAUAUGUGAAUGCAAAUUGCAAAAUAAGCUCAACGACAAUAACGAAUUCAUUCAAAGUAUAUUUAGUUGGAAAUUUAAGUGAAUUAAAUGUGCUUAAUUUAGUGGUACAUAUUUUUGAGUGGUUGUGAAAAUUGUAUGUGCGUGAGUAAACCGAGUUCAUCGGUCCAACGAAUUCGGUAAUUGCUUAUUUAAUAUACAAAUGUAAGAGUAUGUAUUUUACUUCGUUUGGCUGAUGCACAUCAGCACCAAAAGCCAGACAGCGGUUUUGCGAGAUACAUAAAGGCGAUGCAUUCAAUGUACAUACUUAGAACUCAUAGUCUGCUGCAUUGUAUAAGCCUAUAUAGAAAGUAGAUUUAUACAAUGGUCUGCUGUCUGGUAGUGGUGUAUGCAACGACCGGUGUUUUAAGGGCAAGUCGAUAUAAAAGUGGAAAAUAUAAGUGUAUAACUCAUUCGAAAUGGGAAAAAUGCGUACUUUAAAUAGUCAAAAUUUUGAACUUUAAACCUAAAUAUCUCGAAAACUAUAAGUUUCCCGCGGCUAUAUCUAUAUAUAUUCUUGAUCUGGAGGAUCUCCUCUAUCCGCCCAUACCCAUUUUAUCCCCGAAAGCGUGGGACGUUAUACUAAAGUUUUCCCCAAUUAGGAAUUCUUAGCAUCGAAUUUUUGGAUUAAAUCUUUGCUUGCAGUUGCCACCAUUCAAACCAUAUUAAAAACGAAGGAGUGAUCAAAGUAUAUUUAACUGACAUCGUUUCAAGUCGCCGUAACAAUCAAUAUAAUAAUAUUUCAAAAUCUGCUUUUUUAAACGAUAAAUUUUGGAUCUGUUUAACGAACUGAAAGAGCAACUAUCAAGUUGCCCCGAGAAAACACGUGCGCUGUGCCGCACUGUCCAGUCGACAGUGUGGGAAGCCGUUGUAUCCUCAUUAAACGCAGCGCUUGGCGGUGGUGGGAGUGGUGCAGUAACAUCAUCGGCGGAUAGCAGUGGUGGCUCCGGCGUAUCCGGACCAGGACCAGGUGGCGGUGAGGGCGUUGGUCGCUUAGCAUCUAUAAUGGGCGCAGUUAGCUCACGCCACAUCUCUACCAAUGAUGCGCUGGUAGAGGAAGGCGGUGGAGGUAAUAAUCAUGAUCAGGGCAACGGAAAUUGUUCAAUUUCACACAAAAAUGGCAUAACCACCGCAACUGGUGGUUUUUUACAAAAACAAGAUUUGCAUUAUGAUAUCGGUCCGAGUUCUCAGUAUCAUCAUGUACGUCAACCAAGCGUUCGCAGUCGAAGUCAGCAACCCAUGCCAACUACAGAUGAAUUGGAUAGGCGUUUCGCAAAAGUUUUGAUAUAUUUCUACUUCAGCAAAUACCAAAAUAGUUUUGUCGAGUUCCUGUUUGUAUACUUAACAUAUUGUCAUUCCACCCAUGCAUUUUAUGCGAAGUUCGUUGCAUCUUUUAAUAAAAUAGCGCGAUUAUCAAAACUACUGGAAGGAACAAAAAAAGAAGAGACUACAGCGCAGUAGUAAGCGGCGCGCUUUCGAAACUUAAACAAAUACAGCAAUUAGAUAUGAUUGGCGUUCCACUAACGCUUGAGUGCAAUCAAUAAUCAAGAAAUUAGUCACUAUUUAAUUUGUAAAUUAGACGCAAAUGUUGGACAACGAUGUAGUAGAAAAGGCAACGCUUAAGAAGCCACCAUGAUUAACCCGUAUUGGAUUACGUUGGCUGGCUAUGAGCUAAGAGUAAACGGGACCAGUUUUUCAAAUGCCAUGAAACCUAUCCAACCAGUCAGCUCUAGUCAGUACUCCAAUCAACCAACCGCACAAAUGAUGUGAUAUGUUGUUGUCAGUGUUUGUAUGUACGAGCGUGUGGUUGUGGCAAGAUGAAAUCCGAAAACCACAACACGUCUCUCAGAUUUUUUACUACGAAAUGCAAGUUACACACAUAGUCUUUUGUCAGCUCGGUUGGUUGUUGCUAUUUUUGCUUUAGUGCUUUACAUUACAAAUUUCAACAAAAUUCAAACUUUGCUCACUUCUCCAUCGUCGUGUUGCAGAUAACCGCUAUUGCUUGGGGGAAAAAUCGAAGGUGCCCACUAAGUGUUUGUCUAUCGUUGUUGCUGUUUAUGUGGAUUCCUGCUGCUUCUGUCAGGUCUUGUGGUGCCAUAACUGGUGUUGGCGUUGACACUGAUGCCGACUUUGCUGUUGCUUCGGUGCAUAAAACCAAGUCUUAGAAUAGCUAAUUGAAUGUGUAAGCGUGUAGCGACAAUAGGAGUUAGUGUAACCAGAGGUGGACCAGUUUGUGUCCAAAAAAGGCACAGCGGAUGCAAUACCAUAUAUUGUAUGUAAAUAAAAAAUGUAUUUGCAAUAGA
This is a non-coding RNA of Bactrocera oleae (olive fruit fly), 2525 nucleotides long. NCBI's taxonomy places the organism in Eukaryota, Metazoa, Arthropoda, Insecta, Diptera, Tephritidae. The record is from RefSeq and is a predicted model, not a curated record.